This 911-nucleotide ribosomal RNA is filed under the name Botrytis byssoidea. RNAcentral's name for it is "LSU rRNA". It matches the Rfam family "Eukaryotic large subunit ribosomal RNA", at positions 38 to 963 of the family's 3401-position model. The record is from RNAcentral. Lineage: Eukaryota; Fungi; Ascomycota; Leotiomycetes; Helotiales; Sclerotiniaceae.
GCAUAUCAAUAAGCGGAGGAAAAGAAACCAACAGGGAUUACCUCAGUAACGGCGAGUGAAGCGGUAAAAGCUUCAAAUUUGAAAUCUGGCUCUUUUAGAGUCCGAAUUGUAAUUUGUAGAAGAUGCUUCGGGUGUGGUUCCGGUCUAAGUUCCUUGGAACAGGACGUCAUAGAGGGUGAGAAUCCCGUAUGUGACUGGAUACCUAUGCUCAUGUGAAGCUCUUUCGACGAGUCGAGUUGUUUGGGAAUGCAGCUCAAAAUGGGAGGUAUAUUUCUUCUAAAGCUAAAUAUUGGCCAGAGACCGAUAGCGCACAAGUAGAGUGAUCGAAAGAUGAAAAGCACUUUGGAAAGAGAGUUAAACAGUACGUGAAAUUGUUGAAAGGGAAGCGCUUGCAAUCAGACUUGCACUUGGUGUUCAUCAGGGUCUCGUACCCUGUGUACUUCAUCAAGUUCAGGCCAGCAUCAGUUUGAGUGGUUAGAUAAAGGCUUAGAGAAUGUGGCCCUCUUCGGGGGGUGUUAUAGCUCUAGGUGCAAUGUAGCCUACUUGGACUGAGGACCGCGCUUCGGCUAGGAUGCUGGCGUAAUGGUUGUAAGCGACCCGUCUUGAAACACGGACCAAGGAGUGUACCUAAUAUGCGAGUGUUUGGGUGUUAAACCCAUACGCGUAAUGAAAGUGAACGCUGGUGAGAACCCUUAAGGGUGCAUCAUCGACCGAUCUUGAUGUCUUCGGAUGGAUUUGAGUAAGAGCAUAUUGGGUGCGACCCGAAAGAUGGUGAUCUAUACGUGAAUAGGGYGAACGCCAGAGGAAACUCUGGUGGAGGCUCGCAGCGGUUCUGACGYGCAAAUCGAUCGUCAACAUUUGCGYAUAGGGGCGAAAGACUAAUCGAACCAUCUAGUAGCUGGUUCCUGCGA